UCUCUUGCCAGGUAGCCUAGCAGGAAUACUCUGUUCAGUUAUGCAAAAAGCAUGGAUUUGAUCCCUAACUCUUGUUACCACACUCCUAGGAAUACAUGGUUACAAAAAUAAAAGCAUUAGCCUGCAGCCAUACUGCUAUGUGCUGUGCUCUCCUCAGAGCUCACAUGUCAGUGAGGUCAGCCCUGCUCAGGACUCACAGUGCUGGGGGUGCUGUGGAGAUGUGGAAAGGAAACGCAGAGUAAAAGAAUGUGUGGGAAUCACUGUCCUCAUCUGUGCUCCAUGCCAGGGAGUUUCUACUCUCUUGUCUAUUUCUUUGUGACCUUUUUUCUCCUCAGAUUACCAUUAUUUCAUAAACGUGCUUUGUUUUCUUUUUUUCUCGAAGUCAACAAAGGCACUUACUGGGAGUACGCAAAUUUGUGUGGAUGCAAUGCUAGGAAUGACAUUUUGAGAUUUGUAGCUAAAAGUCUUCCGAGCGACACUUAGGUUGGAGACCUUUGCAGUCCAGCCUUUCCUUACAGACCGUUUCAAGGGGCAUCAAUACGAGACGUGUCUGGUGCAGCUGUAAAAAAAGCACUGCCUGAGAAGCAGCCACAGCCCAAGCCCUGCAUGAAACAUUGUAGCACGCUGUGCCCUGGAGAACUUAACAGCCUGACACGCAUUGCAGGCGCAGGAUGUCAGAAAGGCUCUGGCACUCAUGAAGAGUAAGUUACGUGAUGCUGGCGAGUGAUGUUUAAAGCCGUGAUUCCAGGGUGAGGAGGAGGCUUGGAUGAUAGGGAUGGAAAGGUAGAACCAGAAGGGGUUGAGGAGGGGAAUUUGACAAGAGUGGCAGAGAAGGCAAAAAGGGACAGAUUACAGAAUCACAGCAUCACAGAAUGGUUUGGGUUCGAAGGGAUCUUAAAGACCAUCUAGUUCCAUCCCCCUGCUAUGGGAAGGGGACACCCUCCAGUAGACCAAGUUGCUUAAAGCCCUGUCCAACUUGAUGAAGUCAAAGGAGAAGGAAGGGAUCCCUUAGGAUAAUUUAUAUGAGGUAAGGAGCAGCAGCCUCUCAGUCUUGCAGCCAUCACUCAGGUACUGUGCUUAUGCUGCAUAGAGUGCAUAGCAUAUUGCUUUUGUCUCCCAAAUGGCAGAACAUGGUUUAGUUAUGUGCAUUCAACAUCCUGUGAGCAUAUACUGAUGGCUAGCAUGCACUCAGAGGAGGUGCUCAUUUGUCACCACACACAGAACAAGGGACAGAUGUUCAAGGAGGACAAGGAUCCUGCCUGUUCUACCAAGGCAAUGCUACAAGCAAAACAUCAGCAUCAGACCUGAAGCAAAACCUGAGUUCCAAACACUUCUAAAUGUUAGGUGAGAUGAACCCUAUGUCCAACUGGAAUAGCAAAACAUUCCUUGGAUGUGAAAAACUGCAAAACAAGAGGGCUGUCUGGAGUAAAAUCUGAUCUGUUUUCUGGCCCUGUCCUGAGGGUGGAAAAGCAACUCGGCCAGCUCUGCCUGAAUAUUUGACAAACACUAUCCAACAGACUACGAAGUAUUUCCAGCAUCUUCAAAACACACAACCACAGCAGCACUUUGUAUGCUCCUCACCUUCGUUUUUACAUUUUCCCUUCAGGUUCUGAGUUUUAUGUUAUUAAAUUUUAGUGUAAAACAUUGUAAUAAAUAAUAAGUAGCAACA
Pezoporus flaviventris is the source of this 1669-nucleotide long non-coding RNA. RefSeq lists it as uncharacterized. The transcript has 2 exons. The record is from RefSeq and is a predicted model, not a curated record. NCBI's taxonomy places the organism in Eukaryota, Metazoa, Chordata, Aves, Psittaciformes, Psittacidae.